Molecule: ribosomal RNA, 465 nt
Filed under: Vreelandella stevensii
Lineage: Bacteria; Pseudomonadati; Pseudomonadota; Gammaproteobacteria; Oceanospirillales; Halomonadaceae
Description: partial 16S ribosomal RNA
Rfam family: Bacterial small subunit ribosomal RNA
Source: RNAcentral
CCUACGGGUGGCUGCAGUGGGGAAUAUUGGACAAUGGGGGCAACCCUGAUCCAGCCAUGCCGCGUGUGUGAAGAAGGCCCUCGGGUUGUAAAGCACUUUCAGUGAGGAAGAACGCCUGGUGGUUAAUACCCAUCAGGAAAGACAUCACUCACAGAAGAAGCACCGGCUAACUCCGUGCCAGCAGCCGCGGUAAUACGGAGGGUGCGAGCGUUAAUCGGAAUUACUGGGCGUAAAGCGCGCGUAGGUGGCUUGAUAAGCCGGUUGUGAAAGCCCCGGGCUCAACCUGGGAACGGCAUCCGGAACUGUCAAGCUAGAGUGCAGGAGAGGAAGGUAGAAUUCCCGGUGUAGCGGUGAAAUGCGUAGAGAUCGGGAGGAAUACCAGUGGCGAAGGCGGCCUUCUGGACUGACACUGACACUGUGGUGCGAAAGCGUGGGUAGCAAACAGGAUUAGAUACCCUAGUAGUC